GACGAACGCUGGCGGCGUGGAUUAGGCAUGCAAGUCGAACGGUAUCAUCCUUUCGGGGGUGAGAGAGUGGCGAACUGGUGAGUAACACGUAGGUUAUCUACCCUCAAGACGGGGGACAACCCAGGGAAACUUGGGCUAAUACCGGAUGUGAGCAACUUUUAGUUGUUUGAAAGGUGGCGUAAGCUGUCGCUUGGGGAUGAGCCUGCGUCCUAUUAGUUAGUUGGUGAGGUAACGGCUCACCUAGGCAAUGAUAGGUAGGCGGCCUUAACGGGUGGUCGCCCACACUGGGAUUGAGAUACGGCCCAGACUCCUACGGGAGGCAGCAGUCGAGAAUAGUCUACAAUGGUCGGAAGACUGAUAGUGCGACGCCGCGUGAACGAUGAAUCCCUUCGGGGUGUAAAGUUCUUUUCUAUACGAGCAGUGCUAUAUAUAUGGAUAGUAUAUAUAGAGGGAUAGUAGUAUAGGAAUAAGCAACGGCUAACUCCGUGCCCAGCAGCCGCGGU
Molecule: ribosomal RNA, 503 nt
Filed under: uncultured bacterium
Lineage: Bacteria
Description: bacterial SSU rRNA
Rfam family: Bacterial small subunit ribosomal RNA
Source: RNAcentral